This 271-nucleotide ribosomal RNA is filed under the name uncultured bacterium. RNAcentral describes it as "partial 16S ribosomal RNA". It matches the Rfam family "Bacterial small subunit ribosomal RNA", at positions 335 to 596 of the family's 1533-position model. The record is from RNAcentral.
ACUCCUACGGGAGGCAGCAGUGGGGAAUAUUGCACAAUGGGCGCAAGCCUGAUGCAGCCAUGCCGCGUGUAUGAAGAAGGCCUUCGGGUUGUAAAGUACUUUCAGCAGUGAGGAAGGGUGGGUAUGUUAAAUAGCAUAUUCAUUUGACGUUAGCUGCAGAAGAAGCACCGGCUAACUCCGUGCCAGCAGCCGCGGUAAUACGGAGGGUGCGAGCGUUAAUCGGAAUUACUGGGCGUAAAGCGCAUGCAGGUGGUUUGUUAAGUCAGAUGUG